RNAcentral lists this ribosomal RNA (253 nucleotides) under uncultured bacterium. Its description in RNAcentral is "partial 16S ribosomal RNA". It matches the Rfam family "Bacterial small subunit ribosomal RNA", at positions 524 to 776 of the family's 1533-position model. The record is from RNAcentral.
UACGGAGGUUGCAAGCGUUAUCCGGAUUUAUUGGGUUUAAAGGGUGCGUAGGCGGGAUGAUAAGUCAGUGGUGAAAGCCUGCAGCUUAACUGUAGAAAUGCCAUUGAUACUGUCGUUCUUGAGUCUAGUUGAGGUGGGCGGAAUGUGUAAUGUAGCGGUGAAAUGCUUAGAUAUUACACAGAACACCAAUUGCGUAGGCAGCUCACUAAACUAUAACUGACGCUGAGGCACGAAAGCGUGGGGAGCAAACAGG